GACGAACGCUGGCGGCGUGCUUAACACAUGCAAGUCGAACGGAAAGGCCCUGUUUUUGUGCGGUGCUCGAGUGGCGAACGGGUGAGUAUCACGUGAGUAACCUGCCCUUGACUUUGGGAUAACUUCAGGAAACUGGGGCUAAUACCGGAUAUGAGCUCCUGCUGCAUGGUGGGGGUUGGAAAGUUUCGGCGGUUCGGGAUGGACGCGCGGCUUAUCAGCUUGUUGGUGGGGUAGUGGCUUACCAAGGCUUUGACGGGUAGCCGGCCUGAGAGGGUGACAGGCCACAUAGGGACUGGGAUACGGCCAAGAGGGCAACGGGAGGCAGGAGUGGAAAAUAGUGCGAAAUGGGCGGAAGGCUGAUGCAGCAACGCCGGGUGCGAGAUGACGGCCUUUGGGUUGUAAACCGCUUGAGCCUGGGACGAAGCGUGAGUGACGGUAAUGGGUAAGGAAGCGACGGCUAACUACGUG
RNAcentral lists this ribosomal RNA (468 nucleotides) under uncultured bacterium. RNAcentral's name for it is "partial 16S ribosomal RNA". It matches the Rfam family "Bacterial small subunit ribosomal RNA", at positions 28 to 507 of the family's 1533-position model. The record is from RNAcentral.